RNAcentral lists this ribosomal RNA (495 nucleotides) under uncultured bacterium. RNAcentral describes it as "partial 16S ribosomal RNA". It matches the Rfam family "Bacterial small subunit ribosomal RNA", at positions 28 to 507 of the family's 1533-position model. The record is from RNAcentral.
GACGAACGCUGGCGGCGUGCCUAAUACAUGCAAGUAGAACGCUGAAGGAGGAGCUUGCUCUUCUGGAUGAGUUGCGAACGGGUGAGUAACGCGUAGGUAACCUGCCUGGUAGCGGGGGAUAACUAUUGGAAACGAUAGCUAAUACCGCAUAACAGUAGAUGUUGCAUGACAUUUACUUAAAAGGUGCAAUUGCAUCACUACCAGAUGGACCUGCGUUGUAUUAGCUAGUUGGUGGGGUAACGGCUCACCAAGGCGACGAUACAUAGCCGACCUGAGAGGGGGAUCGGCCACACUGGGACUGAGACACGGCCCAGACUCCUACGGGAGGCAGCAGUAGGGAAUCUUCGGCAAUGGACGGAAGUCUGACCGAGCAACGCCGCGUGAGUGAAGAAGGGUUUCGGAUCGUAAAGCUCGGUUGUAAGAGAAGAACGAGUGUGAGAGUGGAAAGUUCACACUGUGACGGUAUCUUACCAGAAAGGGACGGCUAACUACGUG